RNAcentral lists this ribosomal RNA (493 nucleotides) under uncultured bacterium. Its description in RNAcentral is "partial 16S ribosomal RNA". It matches the Rfam family "Bacterial small subunit ribosomal RNA", at positions 28 to 507 of the family's 1533-position model. The record is from RNAcentral.
GACGAACGCUGGCGGCGUGCUUAACACAUGCGAGUCGAACGGAAAGGCCUGCUUUCCCUUGUGGAUUGCGGGUACUCGAGUGGCGAACGGGUGAGUAACACGUGAGUGAUCUGCCCCCAACUUGGGUAUAAGCCUGGGAAACUGGGUCUAAUUCCCGAUAGGACUGCAGGGUGGUGCCUGUGGUGGAAAACGAUUUUCUAGUGGUUGGGGAUGAGCUCGCGGCCUAUCAGCUUGUUGGUGGGGUAAUGGCCUACCAAGGCGGCGACGGGUAGCCGGCCUGAGAGGGUGGACGGCCACAUUGGGACUGAGAUACGGCCCAGACUCCUACGGGAGGCAGCAGUGGGGAAUAUUGCACAAUGGGCGGAAGCCGGAUGCAGCGACGCCGCGUGGGGAUGACGGCCUUCGGGUUGUAAACUCCUUUCGACCGCGAGGAAGCCACCUGGUUGGAAGGGUGGUGACGGUAGUGGUAGAAGAAGCACCGGCUAACUACGUG